RNAcentral lists this ribosomal RNA (254 nucleotides) under uncultured bacterium. RNAcentral describes it as "partial 16S ribosomal RNA". It matches the Rfam family "Bacterial small subunit ribosomal RNA", at positions 524 to 776 of the family's 1533-position model. The record is from RNAcentral.
UACGAAGGGGGCUAGCGUUGUUCGGAAUCAUUGGGCGUAAAGAGCGUGUAGGCGGCCCGGUAAGUCCGCUGUGAAAGUCGGGGGCUCAACCCUCGAAUGCCGGUGGAUACUGUCGGGCUAGAGUGCGGAAGAGGCGAGUGGAAUUCCUGGUGUAGCGGUGAAAUGCGCAGAUAUCAGGAGGAACACCUAUUGCGAAGGCAGCUCGCUGGGACGUAACUGACGCUGGAGACGCGAAAGCGUGGGGAGCAAACAGG